Molecule: ribosomal RNA, 406 nt
Filed under: uncultured bacterium
Lineage: Bacteria
Description: partial 16S ribosomal RNA
Rfam family: Bacterial small subunit ribosomal RNA
Source: RNAcentral
AUUGAACGCUGGCGGCAGGCCUAACACAUGCAAGUCGAACGAGUGGCGGACGGGUGAGUAAUGUUUGGGAAACUGCUUGAUGGAGGGGGAUAACUUCUGGAAACGGUUGCUAAUACCGCAUACUAUCGGAUGUGCUCAGAUGGGAUGAGCUCGUAGGUGGGGUAAAGGCUCACCUAGGCGACGAUCCCUAGCUGGUCUGAGAGGAUGACCAGCCACACUGGAACAGAGGCACGGUCCAGAAUCCUACGGGAAGCAGCAGUGGGGAAUAUUGCACAAUGGGCACAAGCCUGAUGCAGCCAUGCCGCGUGUAUGAAGAAGGCCUUCGGGUUGUAAAGUACUUUCAGCGGGGAGGCGUUACCCGCAGAAGAAGCACCGGCUAACUCCGUGCCAGCAGACGCGGUAAUUC